RNAcentral lists this ribosomal RNA (506 nucleotides) under uncultured bacterium. RNAcentral describes it as "partial 16S ribosomal RNA". It matches the Rfam family "Bacterial small subunit ribosomal RNA", at positions 28 to 523 of the family's 1533-position model. The record is from RNAcentral.
GAUGAACGCUAGCUACAGGCUUAACACAUGCAAGUCGAGGGGUAACAAGAGAAAAGCUUGCUUUUCUUGUUGACGACCGGCGCACGGGUGAGUAACGCGUAUCCAACAUGCCUACAACUAGGGAAUAACCCUGCGAAAGUAAGACUAAUACCCUAUGAUUGCCUUUGAUGACAUCAGCUGAGGAAUAAAGAUUUAUCGGUUAUCGAUGGGGAUGCGUCUGAUUAGCUUGUUGGCGGGGUAACGGCCCACCAAGGCAACGAUCAGUAGGGGUUCUGAGAGGAAGGUCCCCCACAUUGGAACUGAGACACGGUCCAAACUCCUACGGGAGGCAGCAGUGAGGAAUAUUGGUCAAUGGGCGGUAGCCUGAACCAGCCAAGUAGCGUGCAGGAUGACGGCCCUAUGGGUUGUAAACUGCUUUUAUACAGGAAUAAAGUUAGCCACGUGUGGUUAUUUGUAGGUACUGUAUGAAUAAGGACCGGCUAAUUCCGUGCCAGCCGCCGCGGUAA